Molecule: ribosomal RNA, 303 nt
Filed under: uncultured bacterium
Lineage: Bacteria
Description: partial 16S ribosomal RNA
Rfam family: Bacterial small subunit ribosomal RNA
Source: RNAcentral
AGCAGUCGCCGCGGGAAUACGGAGGGUGCAAGCGUUAAUCGGAAUUACUGGGCGUAAAGCGCACGCAGGCGGUCUGACAAGUCAGAUGUGAAAUCCCCGGGCUUAACCUGGGAACUGCAUUUGAAACUGUCAGGCUGGAGUCUUGUAGAGGGGGGUGGAAUUCCAGGUGUAGCGGUGAAAUGCGUAGAGAUCUGGAGGAAUACCGGUGGCGAAGGCGGCCCCCUGGACAAAGACUGACGCUUAGGUGCGAAAGCGUGGGGAGCAAACAGGAUUAGAUACCCCUGUAGUCCCUGUCUCUUAUAC